UUCACUUGUACUAGUUACAGUCAGGGAAUAUGCAUAACUACAAUCUUGGAGUUGCCGACAGUCCCGAAGGACCAGUAUGAACAGUCAGUGAAUCAUAUAUCAUCUGUCAAGAAGCUACAAAGGCAGCAGAUGGGGGUCUGGCCAGUCGUGUGGGUGCUGCCUGUCAAGAUCAGAAAGACCAGAAGAUGAAGGAGCAGAAGCAUGUCAUUUAGCCCAUCAAGUUUGUCCUGCCAUUCAAUGAAGAUCACGGCUGAUCUGGAUUUCAUGGCACACAAUCGGGCCGAAAGAGCCAAGAGUCCCCACCCACUUUGCCUUUGUGAAAAAUUACAAGUCUUCAGCCUGAAUUAUAUUCACUGAGCAGAGCUCUUGGUAAGGAGGAUAUCAAUAGGUGAAAUAUUGCCCGCAUUAAGAACGAAAGGCUGAAUUCAAUUCCUGCCUAUGAACCGUGAACAACAAC
Long non-coding RNA from Stegostoma tigrinum, 457 nucleotides. RefSeq lists it as uncharacterized. The record is from RefSeq and is a predicted model, not a curated record. The transcript is spliced from 3 exons. NCBI's taxonomy places the organism in Eukaryota, Metazoa, Chordata, Chondrichthyes, Orectolobiformes, Stegostomatidae.